GACGAACGCUGGCGGCGUGCCUAAUACAUGCAAGUUGAGCGCUGAAGGUUGGUACUUGUACCAACUGGAUGAGCAGCGAACGGGUGAGUAACGCGUGGGGAAUCUGCCUUUGAGCGGGGGACAACAUUUGGAAACGAAUGCUAAUACCGCAUAAAAACUUUAAACACAAGUUUUAAGUUUGAAGGAUGCAAUUGCAUCACUCAAAGAUGAUCCCGCGUUGUAUUAGCUAGUUGGUGAGGUAAAGGCUCACCAAGGCGAUGAUACAUAGCCGACCUGAGAGGGUGAUCGGCCACAUUGGGACUGGGACACGGCCCAAACUCCUACGGGAGGCAGCAGUAGGGAAUCUUCGGCAAUGGACGAAAGUCUGACCGAGCAACGCCGCGUGAGUGAAGAAGGUUUUCGGAUCGUAAAACUCUGUUGGUAGAGAAGAACGUUGGUGAGAGUGGAAAGCUCAUCAAGUGACGGUAACUACCCAGAAAGGGACGGCUAACUACGUG
Molecule: ribosomal RNA, 497 nt
Filed under: uncultured bacterium
Lineage: Bacteria
Description: partial 16S ribosomal RNA
Rfam family: Bacterial small subunit ribosomal RNA
Source: RNAcentral